GACGAACGCUGGCGGCGUGCUUAACACAUGCAAGUCGAACGGAAAGGCCCUGCUUUCGUGGGGUGCUCGAGUGGCGAACGGGUGAGUAACACGUGAGUAACCUGCCCUUGCCCUUGGGAUAACUUCAGGAAACUGGGGCUAAUACCGGAUAGGAGCUCCUGCUGCAUGGUGGGGGUUGGAAAGUUUCGGCGGUUGGGGAUGGACUCGCGGCUUAUCAGCUUGUUGGUGGGGUAGUGGCUUACCAAGGCUUUGACGGGUAGCCGGCCUGAGAGGGUGACCGGCCACAUUGGGACUGAGAUACGGCCCAGACUCCUGCGGGAGGCAGCAGUGGGGAAUAUUGCACAAUGGGCGGAAGCCUGAUGCAGCAACGCCGCGUGCGGGAUGACGGCCUUCGGGUUGUAGACCGCUUUCGCCUGUGACGAAGCGUGAGUGACGGUAAUGGGUAAAGAAGCACCGGCUAACUACGUG
Molecule: ribosomal RNA, 468 nt
Filed under: uncultured bacterium
Lineage: Bacteria
Description: partial 16S ribosomal RNA
Rfam family: Bacterial small subunit ribosomal RNA
Source: RNAcentral